Molecule: ribosomal RNA, 460 nt
Filed under: uncultured bacterium
Lineage: Bacteria
Description: partial 16S ribosomal RNA
Rfam family: Bacterial small subunit ribosomal RNA
Source: RNAcentral
CCUACGGGCGGCAGCAGUGAGGAAUAUUGGUCAAUGGGCGUAAGCCUGAACCAGCCAAGUCGCGUGAGGGAUGAAGGUUCUAUGGAUCGUAAACCUCUUUUAUAAGGGAAUAAAGUGUGGGACGUGUCCUGUUUUGUAUGUACCUUAUGAAUAAGGAUCGGCUAACUCCGUGCCAGCAGCCGCGGUAAUACGGAGGAUCCGAGCGUUAUCCGGAUUUAUUGGGUUUAAAGGGUGCGUAGGCGGCCUUUUAAGUCAGCGGUGAAAGUUGGUGGCUCAACCAUAGAAUUGCCGUUGAAACUGGGAGGCUUGGGUAUGUUGGAGGCAGGCGGAAUGCGUGGUGUAGCGGUGAAAUGCUUAGAUAUCACGCAGAACCCCGAUUGCGAAGGCAGCCUGCCAAGCCAUGACUGACGCUGAUGCACGAAAGCGUGGGGAUCAAACAGGAUUAGAUACCCCAGUAGUC